RNA transcript from Benincasa hispida (wax gourd), 2574 nucleotides. It is a transcript of the gene named SET domain group 26, with no coding region annotated. NCBI's taxonomy places the organism in Eukaryota, Viridiplantae, Streptophyta, Magnoliopsida, Cucurbitales, Cucurbitaceae. The record is from RefSeq and is a predicted model, not a curated record.
CUUUAGAGUAAGAACUUAUAUUUGUUUGUGUCAGAAAAGGGGAAAAAAAAGACAUUAUAUUUGUCUAAUUCAUCUACGCGCGCGCCGGAAGCCCUAUCGCGGCGAAUCCGCUCUCAAAAUUCGCAAGAUGAAGAACGUGGUCUUGGCAGAACUUCGAUGACUCCAGAUUGAAAAUCCCUCCAUGGAUCAAAAUAUCGAAGGACUGCCAGAUUACAAAGAUAUCAAACAAAAUGAAUUUUGUUAUCGGAAACACAAGAAGCAAAAGGAGGAGGAUAUUGCAGUCUGUGAAUGCAAGUUUGAUGCUAAUGAUAACGAUAGUGCUUGUGGGGAGGGGUGUUUGAAUGUACUAACCAGCACUGAGUGUACUCCUGGACAUUGUCCCUCUGGUGUUCAUUGCAGGAAUCAGAGAUUUCAGAAAUGUGAGUAUGCAAGAACAAAGUUGUUCAAAACAGAAGGCCGUGGGUGGGGCCUUUUAGCUGACGAGAAUAUAAAGAAUGGACAAUUUAUUAUUGAAUAUUGUGGGGAAGUUAUUUCUUGGAAGGAAGCAAAACGGAGAUCCCACACUUAUGAAAAUCAGGGACUAAAAGAUGCUUACAUCAUCUCGCUCAAUGCCUCUGAAUCAAUUGAUGCCACUAGAAAGGGAAGUCUUGCUAGAUUUAUAAAUCAUUCGUGCUUCCCAAAUUGUGAGACGAGGAAAUGGAAUGUGUUGGGUGAAAUAAGGGUUGGAAUAUUUGCAAAGCAAGACAUUUCCAUUGGGACUGAAUUGGCAUAUGAUUAUAAUUUCGAAUGGUAUGGAGGUGCCAAGGUUCGCUGCCUCUGUGGUGCGAGCAGCUGUUCAGGAUUUCUUGGAGCCAAGUCUCGUGGCUUCCUGGAGGAUACCUAUUUGUGGGAAGAUGACGAUGAUAGGUAUUCUGUUGAGAAAAUUCCACUGUACGAUUCUGCAGAGGACGAGCCUUUCGUUAAGCUCCACACAGCAUUUAACAACACAUAUUCUGAGUUUGAGGGUUAUCUGAAAAUUGAGAACCCAAUGAUCAUAGACGAUGAUUUGGCAGCUGAACAGCAACUGGGAUCCACUGCGUUCAUUGAUACCUCGAAGAAUACAGUUCAAUUGCAAAAUACAGUUGUAGGAGAAAUUAAAAAUGAACCAAAAGAGGAGCCAGAAGAUCAUCCACAAAAUACGCAGCAGAGCUUUUCACAUCAGAAUGCAAUGAUAUCUCGUAUCCGAAGUAAUACUGCUUGCCGUAAUUAUCGCAUUGGACCUGGACCUGUGGCCAAAAAACGUUCAAGAAACUUGUCUAAUGGAAGGACAAAAAAUUGUACUAUGAAGCAAGUAGAUGCGAAAUAUGUUGCUCGACUAUUGGAGUUAAAGGAAGCACAAGAAGAUGUCUUACAGUAUGAGGAAACAAAGAAUAAAGCAACUGCCGAACUUGAUUCGUUGUACAAUGAAAUACGACCUGCCAUUGAAGAAUAUGAGAGGGAUAGCCAAGACAAUGUAGCUACCAGUGUUGCGGAGAAGUGGAUAGAAGCAAGCUGUUUGAAACUGAAGGCGGAAUUCGAUCUUUAUUCUUCUAUAGUCAGAAAUGUUGCCUGCACUCCUCUAAGGUCAGGUGUCUCUACUGACCCUCAACCUCUUGAAGCGGAUGGCGACAAUGACCUGAAAUUGUUAACUGAUUAGUCUGCUUAUCUCUGAUAAUAUGGAGCUGAAUUAGUUACUAUGGUAAACCAUUUCUAUCGUAUAUUAGUUGAUGGUCGGGAUACGCUAGUUCUUAUGGGAGCCAACCUACAAGGUCUGUGGAGCAAUUCAUAUCGAGGAGUUUUCAGGUUAGAGGUUUUGGCAGAAGGUUUUAGUAAAUGAGCAAAAAUCUAGAGAACAAGGUCCAUCUAAAAAAGGAAAAUAUUUUUUCCCUUCAAUUUUAUAAGAAAUGAGUAGAAGUUGAGUUUUCUUUCUUUUAGAUUACCUCCGUCAGCAACUGGAGAAUUAACUCAAUUGGUUACGGGAUUGAUAAAAAAGGUUAGAGGUAUAAAGUCUAACUCAUGCAUGUUGAAAUAAAUAAAAGUUUAUUAUCAACCAAUUUUAACAUUCACCAAUGAGAGGGAAAAUGUUAAAACAAAGUAGACAAAAUUAAAAAAAUAUUCAAACAUUAGAGACUAAAACAAUAGGUUAAGCCUCAAUAUAAUACAAAAGCUUGUAAAAAUUUAAGACUUCCGCUAAAAACUAAGUUCAUGUAAGCCACAUUGGUUGUCCUAAUAGUCAAUAAAUUAAUAAAAUGAAUUUGAGGAUAAAAUACAAAUUUUUUGUGGAAAUUUGUAAUGCAAUUUCGUUUCUCUGUUGCUUCUCAUGGAAUGGAACUUAGGGUUGGUUUAGAUUGAUUAGAGAAAAAUGAAAACUAUUUUGAGUGGUUACUAAAUAUUUCAAAUGCUGUUUGGAGGGCCUACGAUGGAAUGAGUUUGUAAUGUAAUAUAAUCUUAAAUCCAUAUUUGUGUUGAGUAUUUUAGGCCCGAUUUGUAAUAUCAAAUUCAUUUUGUUUUCACAAUUUUCAAUACAACCCUCUUUCUUGUUUUUACGGUUCACAA